RNAcentral lists this long non-coding RNA (468 nucleotides) under Equus caballus (horse). Its description in RNAcentral is "lncRNA (ENSECAG00000052626.1)". The record is from RNAcentral. Lineage: Eukaryota; Metazoa; Chordata; Mammalia; Perissodactyla; Equidae.
AGUGAGUAAAGCAGAUUGCUCUCCCUAAUGUGGGUGGGCCUCAACCAAUUCGUGGAAGGUCUGACUAGAACGAAGGCUGACCUUCCCCAGAGUAAGGGAGAAUUCUUUCUGCCUGACUGCCUUUGAACUGGGACAUCAGCUUUUUUCUGCCUUUGGAUUCGAAAUGGAACAUCAGCUCUUCCUGGGUCUCAAGCCUGCCGGCCUUUGGAAUGGAACUACAGCAUCAAUUCUCCUGGGUCUCCAGCUUGCCAACUCACCCUACAGAUCCCGGGGCUUGUCAGCCUCCGAAAUUGUGUCAUCAAAAACAAGGAAAAGCCUGAGAAACUGUCAUAGCCAAGAGGAGCAUAUGAAGACAUGAUGACUAAAUCUAAUGUGGUAUCCUGGCUGGCAUCCUGGAACAGAAAAAGGACAUUAGGCCCAGCUCCAGGGACCCUGCAACCGCCCCCCCUCACCCCGCCCCGAGACGAG